RNAcentral lists this ribosomal RNA (489 nucleotides) under uncultured bacterium. RNAcentral's name for it is "partial 16S ribosomal RNA". It matches the Rfam family "Bacterial small subunit ribosomal RNA", at positions 30 to 507 of the family's 1533-position model. The record is from RNAcentral.
UUGAACGCUGGCGGCAGGCCUAACACAUGCAAGUCGAACGGUAACAGGAAGAAGCUUGCUUCUUUGCUGACGAGUGGCGGACGGGUGAGUAAUGUCUGGGAAACUGCCUGAUGGAGGGGGAUAACUACUGGAAACGGUAGCUAAUACCGCAUAACGUCGCAAGACCAAAGAGGGGGACCUUCGGGCCUCUUGCCAUCGGAUGUGCCCAGAUGGGAUUAGCUAGUAGGUGGGGUAACGGCUCACCUAGGCGACGAUCCCUAGCUGGUCCGAGAGGAUGACCAGCCACACUGGAACUGGGACACGGUCCAGACUCCUACGGGAGGCAGCAGUGGGGAAUAUUGCACAAUGGGCGCAAGCCUGAUGCAGCCAUGCCGCGUGUAUGAAGAAGGCCUUCGGGUUGUAAAGUACUUUCAGCGGGGAGGAAGGGAGUAAAGUUAAUACCUUUGCUCAUUGACGUUACCCGCAGAAGAAGCACCGGCUAACUCCGUG